UACGAAGGGGGCUAGCGUUGCUCGGAAUCACUGGGCGUAAAGCGCACGUAGGCGGACUCUUAAGUCGGUGGUGAAAUCCUGGAGCUCAACUCCAGAACUGCCUUCGAUACUGAGAGUCUCGAGUCCGAGAGAGGUGAGUGGAACUGCGAGUGUAGAGGUGAAAUUCGUAGAUAUCAGGAGGAACACCGGUGGCGAAGGCGGGUCUCUGGGCAACUACUGACGCUGAGGAGCGAAAGCGUGGGGAGCGAACAGG
RNAcentral lists this ribosomal RNA (253 nucleotides) under uncultured bacterium. Its description in RNAcentral is "partial 16S ribosomal RNA". It matches the Rfam family "Bacterial small subunit ribosomal RNA", at positions 524 to 776 of the family's 1533-position model. The record is from RNAcentral.